This 375-nucleotide ribosomal RNA is filed under the name uncultured bacterium. RNAcentral's name for it is "bacterial SSU rRNA". It matches the Rfam family "Bacterial small subunit ribosomal RNA", at positions 524 to 898 of the family's 1533-position model. The record is from RNAcentral.
UACAGAGGGUGCGAGCGUUAAUCGGAUUUACUGGGCGUAAAGCGUGCGUAGGCGGCUUUUUAAGUCGGAUGUGAAAUCCCCGAGCUUAACUUAGGAAUUGCAUUCGAUACUGGUCAGCUAGAGUAUGGGAGAGGAUGGUAGAAUUCCAGGUGUAGCGGUGAAAUGCGUAGAGAUCUGGAGGAAUACCGAUGGCGAAGGCAGCCAUCUGGCCUAAUACUGACGCUGAGGUACGAAAGCAUGGGGAGCAAACAGGAUUAGAUACCCUGGUAGUCCAUGCCGUAAACGAUGUCUACUAGCCGUUGGGGCCUUUGAGGCUUUAGUGGCGCAGCUAACGCGAUAAGUAAUCCACCUGGGGAGUACGCCGGCAACGGUGAA